UACGGAGGGUGCAAACGUUGCUCGGAAUCAUUGGGCGUAAAGCGCACGUAGGCGGACUGUUAAGUCGGAUGUGAAAUCCCUCAGCUUAACUGAGGAAGUGCAUUCGAAACUGGCAGUCUUGAGUAUGGAAGAGGGUCGCGGAAUUCCUGGUGUAGAGGUGAAAUUCGUAGAUAUCAGGAGGAACACCGGUGGCGAAGGCGGCUCUCUGGCCCGAUACUGACGCUCAUGUACGAAAGCGUGGGGAGCAAACAGG
RNAcentral lists this ribosomal RNA (253 nucleotides) under uncultured bacterium. Its description in RNAcentral is "partial 16S ribosomal RNA". It matches the Rfam family "Bacterial small subunit ribosomal RNA", at positions 524 to 776 of the family's 1533-position model. The record is from RNAcentral.